Long non-coding RNA from Gastrolobium bilobum, 703 nucleotides. RefSeq lists it as uncharacterized. The transcript has 3 exons. NCBI's taxonomy places the organism in Eukaryota, Viridiplantae, Streptophyta, Magnoliopsida, Fabales, Fabaceae. The record is from RefSeq and is a predicted model, not a curated record.
AAAACCGGUUGAACCGGCCGAAUUUUGUUAAUCAAAAAACGGUGACCCGCUCUGAAGUGGAGGAAGAAAGCGUCGAUGGUAGAAGAAGAAGACGACGGAAAUGUUGUCGUCGUCGUCGAACACACAAUAUGGUGAGUUUAGGGCAUCGCACAUAUUGAUAAAGCACGAAGGUUCUAGAAGGAAGGCUUCGAGUUCGAGGAAGGAUCCAGAACACCACCAGAGAAAGUGCCGUUUCUCCACGACGACAUCGUUUUGUUGAACUGCAUUGAGCUAAAAGUAUAUAUAUUUGAAUCUGUGGGAGAAAAUGUUAAUGGUUGAAAUUUUCUGGAGGUGAUGAAAGAGGCUUUUAUCAAACAAGUGAUAGACAUGGCCCAUCAGCUACAUGUUUAUGCUAGUACUACAGGCCAUUGGGAUGAGCAUAUCUGGAGAAGGAAUGCAAGCAGCUGGUUUUUGACACUAUUUGAUCUUGAGUUGUAAGUAUUUGAUAUGUUUUCAUCUAAAUUUUAAAAAUUGGACCAAAUCAACUUGAAAGGUUGAACAAAUCAAGUCUUAAAAUCUUUACACGUCAAGCAAGUUUAAGGGUAGCUAGCUCAGUAUGCUUUUAACUGUCCCAAGUCACAUGGAAGAGAGAGGGUGUUUGUGAGCUUAAUUCGUGAAUUUUAUCGUUAAAUGUAUUUUACACUUGUGUUAUUUAUGUUAAAAG